This 308-nucleotide ribosomal RNA is filed under the name uncultured eukaryote. Its description in RNAcentral is "SSU rRNA". It matches the Rfam family "Eukaryotic small subunit ribosomal RNA", at positions 111 to 414 of the family's 1831-position model. The record is from RNAcentral.
AAUAAUUUAUUUGAUGGUUUCUUACUACAUGGAUAACUGUAGUAAUUCUAGAGCUAAUACAUGCGUAAAAUCCCGACUCUCGCGGGGAGGGAUGUAUUUAUUAGAUAAAAAACCAAUGCGGCCUUUGGCCGGUUUUGUGGUGAAUCAUAGUAACUUUUCGAAUCGCAUGGCUUCACGCCGGCGAUAGUUCAUUCAAAUUUCUGCCCUAUCAGCUUUCGACGGUAGUGUAGUGGACUACCGUGGCGUUAACGGGUAACGGAGAAUUAGGGUUCGAUUCCGGAGAGGGAGCCUGAGAAACGGCUACCACA